AACGAACGCUGGCGGCAGGCCUAACACAUGCAAGUCGAGCGAGAUCUUCGGAUCUAGCGGCGGACGGGUGAGUAACGCGUGGGAACGUGCCCUUUGCUUCGGAAUAGCCCCUGGAAACGGGGAGUAAUACCGGAUGUGCCCUAUUGGGGAAAGAUUUAUCGGCAAAGGAUCGGCCCGCGUUGGAUUAGGUAGUUGGUGGGGUAAUGGCCUACCAAGCCGACGAUCCAUAGCUGGUUUGAGAGGAUGAUCAGCCACACUGGGACUGAGACACGGCCCAGACUCCUACGGGAGGCAGCAGUGGGGAAUCUUAGACAAUGGGCGCAAGCCUGAUCUAGCCAUGCCGCGUGAGCGAUGAAGGCCUUAGGGUUGUAAAGCUCUUUCAGGGGGGAAGAUAAUGACUGUACCCUCAGAAGAAGCCCCGGCUAACUCCGUG
RNAcentral lists this ribosomal RNA (433 nucleotides) under uncultured bacterium. RNAcentral describes it as "bacterial SSU rRNA". It matches the Rfam family "Bacterial small subunit ribosomal RNA", at positions 29 to 507 of the family's 1533-position model. The record is from RNAcentral.